CCGACAAGAUAGUUGAAGUAUUGAUAACACCAAGCAAAGCUGUCCCUGUUUGAAAAGAUAAGCCAGCUUGAUUCCCAGGCACUAGAGGAAAAGCAGGAAAAAUGGCAUUGCACCAUCAUCACUUCAUCACAAGAAGAAGAAGGUUUUCACAUUCCAGCAUCCCAUGAGAAUUUUUGUGAAUGAUGAAUGCCAUGUGAUGGCAUUCCUCAGUGUACCCAACGCAAGAGGAGCUGGAGGCUGUGUAGAACAUGGUUUCCCACAAUGAACGGGCCCUCAAGGCUGUGUCUGAUUGGAUUGAUGAGCAGGAGAAGGGCAGCAGUGAACCCUCUGAUGCCGAAAAUAUGGAUGCACCCCCCGAUGAUGAGAGCAAAGAAGGGACUGGGGAACAGAAGGCAGAACACAUGACUAGGACCCUGAAGGGUGUGAUGUGGGUUGGCCUGGUAGCCAAGGGUCUUCUGCUCAUGGGGAUCUGGAUCUGGAGCUGGUUCUGCUCUGUAAGGAGAAGCCCACAACUGCCCUUCUGGACAAGGUGGCUGACAACCUGGCCACUACUGUAACAGAAGACAACUACGAAAUACUCCCGUCUGUGGAUGAUGCUGCGAUUGUGAUAAAAAAUAUGAAAGAGCCCCCUUUGUCCUUGACCAUCCACCUGACAUCCCCUGUUGUUAGAGAAGAAAUGGAGAAAGUAUUAGCUGGAGAAACGCCAUCAAUCAACGACCCCUGGACAUUCUGGACAGGCAGAAAUACCUUGCUGUCUUGGUGUCCCUUCGACAUGCCAAGUGGUUCCAGGCCAGAGCCAACGGGCUGAAGUCGUGUGUCAUUGUCAUCCGUGUCCUAAGGGACUUGUGUACCCACGUGCCCACCUGGGGUCCCCUCGGAGGAUGGCCCCUGGAGCUGCUGUGUGAGAAGUCCAUUGGCGCAGCCAAAAGGCUGAUGGGUGCUGGCGAGGCCCUGCGGAGAGUACUGGAGUGCCUGGCAUCUGGCAUCGUGAUGCCAAAUGGUUCUGGCACUUAUGACCCUUGUGAAAAAGAAGCCACGGAUGCUAUUGGGCAUCUAGGCAGACAGCAAUGGGAAGAUAUCACACAGAGUGUGCAGCAUGCCCUGUGUCUUGCUGCAUUUGGCCAGCUCCAUAAAGUCCUGGGGAUGGACCCCUUGCCUUCCAAGAUGCCCAAGAAACCAAAGAAUGAGAACCUAGUGGACUAUAUUGUUCAAAUUCCUUCUAGUACCACCUAUGCCAUCAUGCCCAUGAAAUGCCCCAUGGAGGAGGAUGGGGAGGAGAAGUCCCCCAGUAAAAAGAAGAAGAAGAUCCAAAAGAAAGAAGAGGAGGUGGAGCCUCCCCAGGCAAUGAGUGCUCUAAUGAGGCUGAACCAGCUGAAGCCAGGCCUGCAGUAUAAGCUGGUCUUGCAGACAGGCCCUGUCCACGCUCCUAUCUUCACUAUAUCUGUGGAGGUGGAUGGUAGUUCCUUUGAGGCCUCUGGACCCUCCAAAAAGACCGCCAAACUGCACGUGGCCAUAAAGGUGUUACAGGACAUAGGCUUGCCAACAGGUGCUGAAGGCAGAGACUUAAGCAAAGGGGAGGACUCAGCUGAGGAGUCUGAUUUGAGGCCCACAGUAGUAGCCCCACCCCCUGUGGUAGAAGCUGUUUCAACACCUAGCUCCACCUUCACUUCAGACACCACUACUGAGCAGGGCCCGAUACUGACUAAGCAUGGCAAGAACCCAGUUGUGGAGUUCAAUGAGAAGAGGCAUGGCCUCAAAUAUGAGCUCAUUUCUGAGACCAGUGGCAGCCAUGACAAGAGAUUUGUCAUAGAGGUUGAGGUGCUGAUUCAAACAAAAAGGAGGCGAAGGCUUAUGCUGCCCUUGCCACAUUGGAAAAACUUUUCCAAGAUCUCCCCUCACCCUUGAAGCCAAGAAGAAAAAAAGAACUCCAGUACCUGUCAGAGGUGGACCCAAAUUUGCUGCCAAGCCACACAACCCUGGCUUUGGUAUGGGAGACCCAAUGCACAAUGAACUUCCUCCAUCCCCUAAUUUCUGUGACUGGGCCUGA
Molecule: RNA transcript, 2047 nt
Organism: Nannospalax galili (Upper Galilee mountains blind mole rat)
Lineage: Eukaryota; Metazoa; Chordata; Mammalia; Rodentia; Spalacidae
Gene name: interleukin enhancer-binding factor 3 pseudogene
Exons: 1
Source: RefSeq, a predicted model, not a curated record